Molecule: ribosomal RNA, 2564 nt
Filed under: Halisarca caerulea
Lineage: Eukaryota; Metazoa; Porifera; Demospongiae; Chondrillida; Halisarcidae
Description: bacterial LSU rRNA
Rfam family: Bacterial large subunit ribosomal RNA
Source: RNAcentral
AGUAUAAACGAGUGGCGAGUGGAAGACUAGGAUAUUAUAUAAAGGACGUUAAAAACGAAAUGUCGUAAAAGAUAUAUCUGAUAUUCGACAAUCCUUUUGAGAAAUCGUAAUGUAGACACUUUGAUAAUUGAAACAUCUAAAUAUCAAGGAAAACGGAAAUCAAGCGAGAUUUCGUUAGUAGUGGUGAGCGAAAGCGAAUGAGGGAGAGGGGUUAUUGCAUGUGGAAUAACCGUUUUAUGUUAUUAAGAGCUAAUUUAUAUAGCCAAAGAAGAUAACAGAUCUGUAGAGUCUUAAUAAUAACAAAGUAUAAAGUAUAAUUAUUAAAAUACAGGUGUACCACACACCUAAGACUAAAUAAUAUAAUAUACCGAUAGUAAACAAGUACUGUGAAGGAAUGUUGAAAGAGAUAUAAGUGAAAAGAGCCGGAAACUCGUCUACUUACAAGUAGACAGAAUCUUUGUCGUACCUUUUGUAUAAUGGGUUCACAAGAAAAAAUUUGGCAAACUUAAGUUUUAAAUGUAGGUGAAGUGAAAGCGAGUUUUAAUAAAACGCGAUAAAGUCAAAUGAUCCCGAAACCAAGUGAUCUAGUCAUGGGCAGUUUGAAACAAUUUGAAAAGAGUUGUGGAGGAGCGAACCGGUGAUUGUAGCAAAAAUCUCGGAUGACCUGUGGUUAGGGGUGAAAGGCCAAUCGAACUUGGAAAUAGCUGGUUUUCUGCGAAAACUAUAUAAGUAGUGCGUCAUAUAUAUUCUAACUAAAUAAUUAUUGAAAACGGUAAUAAUAAUUAUUUAAUACACGGUAAGGCUCUAAAUAAAUUUAGGGAGAGUUUCUUUACUAAAUUCCAUUAAACUAUGAAUGUGUUAGAAGAAAGUUUGAUAGACAGACGUUGGCGAGAAGGUCAAUAGUCUAGUGGGGAACAGCCCUGAUUUGAAGUUAAGGUCAUAAAGAUGGGCUAAGUGUGAAAGAGGAUUAAUUUUAAUAUUAGAUAAUGAGUAAGUAGGCUUGGAACCAGCCAUCUUUUAAAGAUUACGUAAUAGUUCACUCAAUAAAUUUAAUAACCUCUAAAAUUUAGGUGGCUUAAGCUCAUUGGAUCCCAUACUCUGAAUAGAAAUUAUGGUAGCAGAACGUGCUGUAUUUAUUAGUGUAAACAAAAUCAGAAGUGAUAAUGUGAAUAUGAGUAAAAAACAAUGUUGAAAUCAUUGUUCAUGACCUAGGGUUUCCAAUUAAAGGAUGUUCCUAAUUGGGUUAAACAGCCCCUAAAAAAUAUGGGUACGUAGUAAAAUAAAUUACGCUUAACGCGUCAGGAAGAAAUUAUUCCAAUAAAAGGGGGUAAGACCCCUUUUAUUAAUCCAAAAAGCGGGUUGUACUAAAACUGACACAAGUGGGUCGUAACGUGAUGGUAAAAUUUAUCUUAAGGAAUUCGGCAAAUUGUUCCUGUAAGUUCGCGAGAAGGGAAGUUAAUAAUUUGAAGAGAUAAGAUUAUUAAUUGCAAAGAAGAGGGGGUGUCGACUGUUUACCAAAAACAUAGCUUCCAGCUAAUUUUUAGAUAUUGGAAGUGAGGCCUGCCCAAUGGUUGUAUCUCAACCCAAGUAAUAAAUCUAGUUAACUUGGUUAAGGACAAUUUAAUGGCCGCGGUAACACUGACCGUGAUAAUGUAGCGCAAUCAAUAGCCAAUUAAUUGUUGGCAAGUAUGAAUGGCUUAACGAGCGCCCCGCUGUCUCAAGAUAAAUACCAAUGAAAUUGAAUUCGUAGUGAAGAUGCUACGUACAAAUUGUAAGACGAGAAGACCCCAUUGAGCUUUACUGAAGGUUUAUAUGGUUUGGGUUUAAUUAAUGUGUAGAUUAUGUGGGGAAUUAAGAUUAGUUUAAUUUUUAUGAAAAACCACUCUUUUAAUUGGAAACAAAUUAGGUCAGGCCCACCCGCUAAGUGGGCUUCUUUUUAUGUAAAUCGGACAGUUUGGUUGGGGCGACCGCCUUCUAAAGAGUAACGAAGGUAAACAUAAGGCGAAUAUAAUAUAAUAAAGCCAGACAGCAAGGCGUACUUUCCUAGCUGACACGGGGCUCAGUCCCUGCUGUGUUAUAGUGACCCGUUUGUCGAAAGUGGAAUUGCUAACGAUCAAUGGAUAAAAGUUACCAUGGGGAUAACAGAGUAAUAUCGUCUGAGAGUUCAUAUCGACGACGGAGUUUGCUACCUCGAUGUUGAAUUGUGGUAUCCUGAGGGUGCAGCCGCUCUCAAGGGUUGGACUGUUCGUCCAUUAAAACCAUACAUGAUUUGAGUUCAGACCGGCGUGAGCCAGGUCGGUUUCUAUCUACAAUUUGGUGAGGAAGCAUUUGACGUAUCAAUCUUCUAGUACGAAAGGACCGAAGAAUUUGUUGUCCUCUGGUGUUCCAAUUAAAAGUUGGGUAGUUACGACAGUAAGGUGGUAUCACUGAAAGCAUCUUAAGUGAGAAAUCUAUGUUAAUCUGUGCUUCCAAUAAGAAUGUUUGAGAUAAAAACACUGAUAGGGCCUUGGUGACGAGCUUAAGGCUACUAAUCAUCUUUAAUACUAGUUUAACGGCCCACCUAA